AUUGAACGCUGGCGGCAGGCCUAACACAUGCAAGUCGAGCGAGCGGCGGACGGGUGAGUAAUGUCUGGGAAACUGCCUGAUGGAGGGGGAUAACUACUGGAAACGGUAGCUAAUACCGCAUACCAUCAGAUGUGCCCAGAUUGGAUUAGCUAGUAGGUGGGGUAACGGCUCACCUAGGCGACGAUCCCUAUCUGGUCUGAGAGGAUGAACAGUCACACUGGAACUGAGACACGGUCCAGACUCAUACGAGAGGCAGCAGUGGGGAAUAUUGCACAGUGGGCGCAAGCCUGAUGCAGCCAUGCCGCGUGUGUGAAGAGGGCCUUCGGGUUGUAAAGCACUUUCAGCGGGGAGGCGUUACCCGCAGAAGAAGCACCGGCUAACUCCGUGCCAGCAGCCGCAGUAAUAC
RNAcentral lists this ribosomal RNA (406 nucleotides) under uncultured bacterium. RNAcentral's name for it is "partial 16S ribosomal RNA". It matches the Rfam family "Bacterial small subunit ribosomal RNA", at positions 30 to 526 of the family's 1533-position model. The record is from RNAcentral.